RNAcentral lists this ribosomal RNA (271 nucleotides) under uncultured Bacteriovorax sp. RNAcentral's name for it is "partial 16S ribosomal RNA". It matches the Rfam family "Bacterial small subunit ribosomal RNA", at positions 595 to 864 of the family's 1533-position model. The record is from RNAcentral. Lineage: Bacteria; Pseudomonadati; Bdellovibrionota; Bacteriovoracia; Bacteriovoracales; Bacteriovoracaceae.
UGAAAUCUCGGGGCUCAACCUCGAAACUGCGUCUGAAACUGCAGGUCUAGAAUCUUGGAGGGGGAAGGGGAAUUUCGCAUGUAGGGGUAAAAUCCGUAGAUAUGCGAAGGAACACCAGAGGCGAAGGCGCCUUCCUGGACAAGUAUUGACGCUGAGGCGCGAAAGCGUGGGGAUCAAACAGGAUUAGAUACCCUGGUAGUCCACGCUGUAAACGAUGAAUACUAGAUAUUGAGGGAUUUGACCCCCACAGUGUCGUAGCUAACGCGUUAAG